UAGUUUACCUUCAAAUUACAGGAUACCAAAAAAGAAAAAAAAAAAUCCGCAGUAUAGAACCGGAUUGGUUGCUUAAUAUGAGAAUCCAUAGCCUGUGGCUGCCAAUGAAAUCAUGGUGGUAAUUCUUCCACAGUGGUUUUGCUGAGAACGCUGGAUGGCAUGCUGUGUCCCAGUUCCAGAGCUAAAUCAUGACAGCAAGCCAGGAGUCCACAAAUUGUCGAGAUGGCACAGGCACCUCUCGCAAACUGAGAAUCGGUUAUGGUUCAAUUACCGACCGGCGAAAGGAUGUCCUUCUCAAUUCCUCCGGCAGACUAGAGAAAUGCAUAAACGGCUGUGAAGUGGGCCAUUACUUCACUGUGCAAUGUGAAGCUCUUCUUAUUGGCCCUUGGCAAGUGAUCUUUGUAAAUGGCGUACUUUAUGGUUAACCGAAAGAGAUCUCCUUCUCAAAAGUUUCUAAAGGUCGAAGAAUGAUACUGUGUCUAGAUUAAGAGAGGAGUGCACUUGCAAAUUAGAUGUAACGAGACCCUGUACUACAAAUCGCAAUGCAUUCCUAAUUGCAAUGCAAUCCAGGAACCUUUUACUAAACAUGUGUGCGCUCCAGAGUUAUCAUUAUCAA
Molecule: long non-coding RNA, 616 nt
Organism: Eucalyptus grandis
Lineage: Eukaryota; Viridiplantae; Streptophyta; Magnoliopsida; Myrtales; Myrtaceae
Exons: 3
Source: RefSeq, a predicted model, not a curated record